CAUGCACAAGAUAAGGAUGAAUUCUAGAUAAGAUAGGAAAACCCCGAUUCCCGCAGGAUUCUGCGCAAUCAGAUAAAACAGCCAAGUUCGUGCCUCAAACGAACUCCGAUUACCAUGAAACUAGAUUCGUUGGAUUCAGGACGAAGAAUCCUUCCAGAUGGCACCUUUUCCACUUUGAACGGACUUCUAUAGAGUUCCCAAAAUGCCCCUCAAAGUGAAAGCGCGUGGAAACAGCGUUUCAGCCACGUCUUCUAACCAUACACGUUUUCAGUUAUAAAAACAUGUUAAAACGUGUCCCUUGCCUUCUGGAGACUUAUGCCACGUUCCUCCAUCAGUGGCACACAUUUCCAUGCAUCCCAAUUUCCCGGAUUCAGUCCAUGCUUCGAGAUAAGCCCACAACGCUGAAUCAGUCUCGUUGCAGCAGCUUUCCUCCUAAUGAUGAACCAGCAUGUAU
RNAcentral lists this long non-coding RNA (454 nucleotides) under Phoenix dactylifera (date palm). RNAcentral describes it as "long non-coding RNA (PDAC_LNC007764)". The record is from RNAcentral. Lineage: Eukaryota; Viridiplantae; Streptophyta; Magnoliopsida; Arecales; Arecaceae.